AGAGUUUGAUCAUGGCUCAGGAUGAACGCUAGCGGCAGGCUUAAUACAUGCAAGUCGUGGGGCAGCAUGAGUGUAGCAAUACAUUUGAUGGCGACCGGCAAACGGGUGCGGAACACGUACGCAACCUUCCUUUAAGUGGGGGAUAGCCCGGGGAAACCCGGAUUAAUACCCCGUAAUAUUAUGAGGUGGCAUCAUCUUAUAAUUAUAGCUCCGGCGCUUAGAGAUGGGCGUGCGUCUGAUUAGGUAGUUGGCGGGGUAACGGCCCACCAAGCCUACGAUCAGUAACUGGUGUGAGAGCACGACCAGUCACACGGGCACUGAGACACGGGCCCGACUCCUACGGGAGGCAGCAGUAAGGAAUAUUGGUCAAUGGACGCAAGUCUGAACCAGCCAUGCCGCGUGGAGGAUGAAGGUCCUCUGGAUUGUAAACUUCUUUUAUCUGGGAAGAAACCCAUGGUUUCUACUGUGGUUGACGGUACCAGAUGAAUAAGCACCGGCUAACUCCGUGCCAGCAGCCGCGGUAAUACGGAGGGUGCAAGCGUUAUCCGGAUUCACUGGGUUUAAAGGGUGCGUAGGUGGGCAGGUAAGUCAGUGGUGAAAUCUCCGGGCUUAACCCGGAAACUGCCGUUGAUACUAUCUGUCUUGAAUAUCGUGGAGAUGAGCGGAAUAUGUCAUGUAGCGGUGAAAUGCUUAGAUAUGACAUAGAACACCGAUUGCGAAGGCAGCUCGUUACACGGUUAUUGACACUGAGGCACGAAAGCGUGGGGAUCAAACAGGAUUAGAUACCCUAGUAGUCC
RNAcentral lists this ribosomal RNA (797 nucleotides) under uncultured bacterium. Its description in RNAcentral is "bacterial SSU rRNA". It matches the Rfam family "Bacterial small subunit ribosomal RNA", at positions 8 to 796 of the family's 1533-position model. The record is from RNAcentral.